RNAcentral lists this ribosomal RNA (253 nucleotides) under uncultured bacterium. RNAcentral describes it as "partial 16S ribosomal RNA". It matches the Rfam family "Bacterial small subunit ribosomal RNA", at positions 524 to 776 of the family's 1533-position model. The record is from RNAcentral.
GACAGAGGGGGCAAGCGUUGCUCGGAAUUACUGGGCGUAAAGGGCGCGUAGGCGGGAUGGCAAGUCGGUCGUGAAAUCCCUCGGCUCAACCGAGGAACGUCGAUCGAUACUGCUGUUCUUGAGGAUUGCAGAGGAGACUGGAAUUCCCGGUGUAGCGGUGAAAUGUGUAGAGAUCGGGAGGAACACCGGUGGCGAAAGCGGCUUCCUGGCCCGACAUUGACGCUCAUGUACGAAAGCGUGGGGAGCAAACAGG